This 250-nucleotide ribosomal RNA is filed under the name uncultured prokaryote. RNAcentral describes it as "partial 16S ribosomal RNA". It matches the Rfam family "Bacterial small subunit ribosomal RNA", at positions 524 to 774 of the family's 1533-position model. The record is from RNAcentral.
UACGUAGGGGGCGAGCGUUGUCCGGAAUGAUUGGGCGUAAAGGGCGCGUAGGCGGCUUGAUAAGUCUGGAGUGAAAGUCCUGUUUUCAAGAUGGGAAUUGCUUUGGAUACUGUUAAGCUUGAGUGCAGGAGAGGUUAUCGGAAUUCCCAGUGUAGCGGUGAAAUGCGUAGAGAUUGGGAGGAACACCAGUGGCGAAGGCGGGUAACUGGACUGAACUGACGCUGAGGCGCGAAAGUGUGGGGAGCAAACA